ACGAAGGAUGCAAGCGUUAUCCGGAUUCAUUGGGUUUAAAGGGAGCGUAGGUGGACUGAUAAGUCAGUGGUGAAAUCUUCGAGCUUAACUCGGAAAUUGCCAUUGAUACUGUUGGUCUUGAGUACAGUUGCUGUGGGCGGAAUAUGACAUGUAGUGGUGAAAUACAUAGAGAUGUCAUAGAACACCGAUUGCGAAGGCAGCUCACAAAGCUGUAACUGACACUGAGGCUCGAAAGUGCGGGGAUCAAACAGGAUUAGAUACCCUGGUAGUCCGCACCGUAAACGAUGAUUACUCGCUGCUAGAGGGCAACUUUUAGUGGCUUAGCGAAAGCGAUAAGUAAUCCACCUGGGGAGUACGCCGGCAACGGUG
This 369-nucleotide ribosomal RNA is filed under the name uncultured bacterium. Its description in RNAcentral is "bacterial SSU rRNA". It matches the Rfam family "Bacterial small subunit ribosomal RNA", at positions 525 to 896 of the family's 1533-position model. The record is from RNAcentral.